Molecule: ribosomal RNA, 434 nt
Filed under: uncultured bacterium
Lineage: Bacteria
Description: partial 16S ribosomal RNA
Rfam family: Bacterial small subunit ribosomal RNA
Source: RNAcentral
ACGGGAGGCAGCAGUGGGGAAUAUUGCAAAAUGGGGGAAACCCUGAUGCAGCGACGCCGCGUGAGUGAUGAAGUAUUUCGGUACGUAAAGCUCUAUCAGCAGGGAAGAUAAUGACGGUACCUGACUAAGAAGCCCCGGCUAACUACGUGCCAGCAGCCGAGGUAAUACGUAGGGGGCAAGCGUUAUCCGGAUUUAAUGGGUGAAAAGGGAGUGUAGGUGGUCUGGCAAGUCAGAUGUGAAAGCCCGCGGCUCAACCGCGGGACUGCAUUUGAAACUGUCAGACUGGAGUGCAGGAGAGGAAAGUGGAAUUCCUAGUGUAGCGGUGAAAUGCGUAGAUAUUAGGAAGAACACCAGUGGCGAAGGCGGCUUUCUGGACCGUAACUGACACUGAGGCUCGAAAGCGUGGGGAGCAAACAGGAUUAGAUACCCUGGUA